Molecule: long non-coding RNA, 554 nt
Filed under: Homo sapiens (human)
Lineage: Eukaryota; Metazoa; Chordata; Mammalia; Primates; Hominidae
Description: non-protein coding lnc-ZNF681-3:1
Source: RNAcentral
UGCAGGAAGAGAGCCUCCCUGGGUAGAACUGCACCUUCACAAUAACGGAAAUGAGAGCAUUAUUUAAGCCACAGUUUCUAUUUAUAAUGGUGACAUGGAAAAUAUACUGCUAGAUUUCCAGCAUGCAUCCAGAUAGAGAUAGCUCCAAGAGUUCUCACUGUGACAGCCACGUCUUUCACAGACAUUAUGGGAUACUAAUAGGGCUUCUAAAACAGAUACACAAAGCAUUCUACAGAAAAACAGCUCUCACUCUGAGAAAGAUUAUAUUGAGAGAAAAAAAAGAAGUUAAAAGCAUCUUAAGAAAAAACUGAAAUUAGAUAUAAGAUUGAUCAAGUCAGCCAGAAAAUAUUCCUGCAAAAACAAUUUCUCUCUAAAUACCCAAAGUGCAUAGCUACUCUCAGCAUGAGAAACAUGAGUAUUAUGAAGAAAAGAGGUAUAUUAUCAGCAGAAUCAUAAAAUAUUUUUUCUAUCUCUGCUGCUCUCUAAUUUUCUAGCCUUUGAAUGCAGAAUCUAUAUUCAAAUAUAUCUGACAACUUCCACCAGCACUUUGAUAA